RNAcentral lists this ribosomal RNA (644 nucleotides) under uncultured bacterium. RNAcentral describes it as "bacterial SSU rRNA". It matches the Rfam family "Bacterial small subunit ribosomal RNA", at positions 8 to 694 of the family's 1533-position model. The record is from RNAcentral.
AGAGUUUGAUCCUGGCUCAGGACGAACGCUGGCGGUGUGCUUCACACAUGCAAGUCGAACGAGGUAGCAAUACCUAGUGGCGGACGGGUGAGUAACGCGUGGGAAUCUGCCCAAGGGUGGGGGAUAACUAGCCGAAAGGUUAGCUAAUACCGCAUAUGCCGUGAGGUAAAAGGAGUAAUCCGCCCCUGGAUGAGCCUGCGUCCGAUUAGCUAGUUGGUAGGGUAAAGGCCUACCAAGGCUACGAUCGGUAGCUGGUCUGAGAGGAUGAUCAGCCACAAUGGGACUGAGACACGGCCCAUACUCCUACGGGAGGCAGCAGUGGGGAAUUUUACGCAAUGGGGGAAACCCUGACGUAGCGACACCGCGUGAGCGAAGAAGCCCUUUGGGGUGUAAAGCUCUGUCAGCAGGAACGAACAAAAUGACGGUACCUGCAGAGGAAGCAUCGGCUAACUACGUGCCAGCAGCCGCGGUAAGACGUAGGAUGCAAGCGUUGUCCGGAUUCAUUGGGCGUAAAGAGUUCGUAGGCGGUUUGUUAAGUCUGAUGUUAAAGAUCGGGGCCUAACCCUGGGAGUGCAUUGGAUACUGGCAGACUGGAGUACAGUAGAGGCGAGUGGAAUUCCCAGUGUAGCGGUGAAAUGCGUAGA